UCCCCUCUCCUUCAGUGUGUGUCCGUGGUCAAACCUGCAACAGAGUGACUUACACUGACAGAAGCAUCUGUGCCUUCAAAGGCUCAUCAGUGGACAUUUCUUGUACUUACAACAGUUAUGACACAGAUAUCAGAUCUAAAUUCUGGUUCAGUCCUGAACGUAGUCUUCAGUGGCAGAAUCCCUCACAGCCUGAGGACCUUAGUGAAGACUCCCAGCAUGCAGGUCGUGUUCAGGUCCUUGAAACAGAGAGAGGACGCUCCACUCUGAGAAUCACUGACCUGAGAGAGAGCGACUCAGCUGAGUAUCACUUCACAUUCACAGCAGGAAGCUUUGAAUGGAGGAGUAGUUUACCUGGUACAACUCUGACUGUCACAGAUCGAGAUCUCCAGGUUCAGGUGAUCAGAUCAACAGACCACACAUAUAAUCAGGCAGAGCUGCUUUGUCACAGCAGCUGUCGUCUACCUGAUCAUUCUUCCUACGUCUGGUACAAGAAUGGACAGAAAAUUCAGAGAGAAACAUCUUUUUAUUCAGUCAGCAGUUAUUCUGCAGACAGUUAUUCCUGUGCUUUGAAAGGACUGGAGGGUUUCCCCUCUCCUUCAG
Molecule: long non-coding RNA, 600 nt
Organism: Micropterus dolomieu (smallmouth bass)
Lineage: Eukaryota; Metazoa; Chordata; Actinopteri; Centrarchiformes; Centrarchidae
Exons: 3
Source: RefSeq, a predicted model, not a curated record